Molecule: ribosomal RNA, 568 nt
Filed under: uncultured bacterium
Lineage: Bacteria
Description: bacterial SSU rRNA
Rfam family: Bacterial small subunit ribosomal RNA
Source: RNAcentral
CCUACGGGAGGCAGCAGUGGGGAAUAUUGCACAAUGGGCGCAAGCCUGAUGCAGCGACGCCGCGUGAGGGAUGACGGCCUUCGGGUUGUAAACCUCUUCCAGUAGGGAAGAAGCGAAAGUGACGGUACCUGCAGAAGAAGCGCCGGCUAACUACGUGCCAGCAGCCGCGGUAGUACGUAGGGCGCAAGCGUUAUCCGGAAUUAUUGGGCGUAAAGAGCUCGUAGGUGGUUUGUCGCGUCUGCCGUGAAAGUCCGGGGCUCAACUCCGGAUCUGCGGUGGGUACGGGCAGACUAGAGUGAUGUAGGGGAGACUGGAAUUCCUGGUGUAGCGGUGAAAUGCGCAGAUAUCAGGAGGAACACCGAUGGCGAAGGCAGGUCUCUGGGCAUUAACUGACGCUGAGGAGCGGAAGCAUGGGGAGCGAACAGGAUUAGAUACCCUGGUAGUCCAUGCCGUAAGCGUUGGGCACUAGGUGUGGGGGACAUUCCACGUUUUCCGCGCCGUAGCUAACGCAUUAAGUGCCCCGCCUGGGGAGUACGGCCGCAAGGCUAAAACUCAAAGGAAUUGACGG